UUCUGCCUCAGCCUCCCGAGUGGCUGGGAUUAUAAGUGCAAUUCACUGUGCCUGGCUUUUGUCCUUUGUUUUUCACUGGCUUUUGCUCAGCAUAUUUUUGAGAUUCAUUCAUGUUCCUUGCAGUCUCAUCCUACUCAAGUGUGGCUCUGUAUCCAACAACAGUCUUGGAGAUCUCAUGAAGAUUUCUGAAACUUUUGCUCUGCAGGAUACCUUCCUUUGUGGUUAUGUGCCCUGAAAACUCCAGCCUCCGUGUCUUCAAUUCAGUGAAACUACUACUCUGCUUGGAUUCCCCUCUUAUACAAUGGUCUACCAAGUGACUGCAAACAGAAAUCUAAGGGAAUUUCAGGAGUCACCUCAUUUAUUUUCCUUUUUUUCAGGGAUUAUAGUAGUACUAUACCACCUGUCAGCCAAUGUGUGAGAAUGGUGGUUUCAUACAUUUUCUCCAAUUCUUUCUUGUUACAGGAGCCUCCAUUACUUUUCAAACAGUAAUGCAGUUGCAGUUGCCUCUCCUUUUCUUCAUUAUGUGUUUAUCUCUGGCAGUUUGAGCCAAGAGAGGGCACGGAGAAGUACAAUGACUAGAGAGCACUUCUGUUGAGGCUCAUUCAUUGACCCCUACCCCAGUGCUUUAUGAAUGUGUGCUGCAGAUGUCAUACAGCAUCACAGCUUCUUCUCUAAUUUAUGAGCCAUAAUUUUUUUUUUUGUAUUUUUAUUGUAUUACCUGCUUGGUUGCAAGAGGAUGAUGAGGAGGACUACUAUAGGAUAAAUUUGUUUUUAUAGAGCAAUUUCUCAUGGGUCACGAGGGAUAGUACUCCAUUUUCCUCACUGAUAUCGGCUUGAUCAUCUGAGUCAGUGGGCUCAUUGUGGAAACAUAUGGAAUCCUUUAUGCUUUUUCUCAGGCUGCUUCUGUUACAUGAAAUAAAGCCAGAGUUGAUUGUGAA
Molecule: long non-coding RNA, 938 nt
Filed under: Homo sapiens (human)
Lineage: Eukaryota; Metazoa; Chordata; Mammalia; Primates; Hominidae
Description: HSALNT0351224
Source: RNAcentral